UGCGAGUUUUCAGAUCCAAGCCAUAAUCAGUCGCUAACCGUGUUUGUGGAUAGUCUGUGAUAAGAAUUUAUUAGUUCCUGUCGAAAAUUUGAGUCGCUGCCGUUUAAAAAAAACGUUUUACUUUUUGUCUAAACAUGAAGUGGAUCAUAAUAACAGUUUUAAUUGUGAUGUCGUCAGUGGUGUCGCAAGCUCGUCAUAUUAAUCCUCACGGGAAACACACUGCGCCUAUGGAAAAGCAUGAUUCAACUGUUUCAAAUGAAGAUGAUUAUGCAGACAUUGUAGAAAUUCGAGCGAUGAAGCCAGUGAGAUUCGUCCCCAUCAACAACGCAAUGUACUUCAAAAAUUACGAGCCCUGCGAGGAGGGCUACGCUCGGGAUCGAUUAGGUGUCUGCAGGGAAAUCUGGAAUUAGAAGCUAGUUUACUAAAA
Long non-coding RNA from Amyelois transitella, 427 nucleotides. RefSeq lists it as uncharacterized. The record is from RefSeq and is a predicted model, not a curated record. NCBI's taxonomy places the organism in Eukaryota, Metazoa, Arthropoda, Insecta, Lepidoptera, Pyralidae. The transcript has 2 exons.